ACUCCUCAUCUGAGAUUCUGAAAUCAGGAAACUCGUCAUAAAAAAACUUACUCAAAUUUUUGGUGAUUUAUUAAUCUGUGGAUUGAGCGUCCCAAAUCUUCAUGAAAAAAUCAAGCAAGGCUCGAAUUUGAGUGAGGUAGGUACUGUUCCAUAGUAGUGGAGGUUGAGUGACUGCAUAACAUCUACUAACUUCUAACUGGAGGCCAUGGUUUAGGCCAACACUGCAAACUCCUUUCGGCUCAGUGCAUCAAU
Molecule: long non-coding RNA, 252 nt
Filed under: Carica papaya (papaya)
Lineage: Eukaryota; Viridiplantae; Streptophyta; Magnoliopsida; Brassicales; Caricaceae
Description: long non-coding RNA (CPAP_LNC008980)
Source: RNAcentral